RNAcentral lists this long non-coding RNA (1087 nucleotides) under Mytilus galloprovincialis (Mediterranean mussel). The record is from RNAcentral. Lineage: Eukaryota; Metazoa; Mollusca; Bivalvia; Mytilida; Mytilidae.
UAGGUCUUACUUUGCUGUACAUUAUUGCUGUUUACAGUUUAUCUCUAUCUAUAAUAAUAUUCAAGAUAAUAACCAAAAACAGCAAAAUUUCCUUAAAAUUACCAUUUCAGGGGCAGCAACCCAACAACGAAAUGUCCGAUUCAUCUGAAAAUUUCAGGGCAGAUAGAUCUUGACGUGAUGAACAAUUAACCCCUGUUAGAUUUGCUCUAAAUGCUUUGGUUUUUGAGUUAUAAGCCAAAAACUGCAUUUUACCCCUAUGUUCUAAUUUUAGGUGUGGCGGCCAUCUUGGUUAGUUGGCCGGGUCACCGGACACAUUUUUUAAACUAGAAACCCCAAUGAUGAUUGUGGCUAAGUCUGGAUUAAUUUGGCCCAGUAGUUUCAGAGGAGAAGAUUUUUGUAAAAGAUUACUAAGAUUUACGAAAAAUGGUUAAAAAUUGACUAUAAAGAGCAAUAACUCCUAAAUUGGUCAACUGACCAUUUUGGUCAUGUUGACUUUUUUGUAAAAUCUUACUUUGCUGAACAUUAUUGCUGUUUACAGUUUAUCUCUAUCUAUAAUAAUAUUCAAGAUAAUAACCAAAACAGUAAAAUUUCCUUAAAAUUACCAAUUCAGGGGCAGCAACCCAACAACAGGUUGUCCGAUUCAUCUGAAAAUUUCAGGGCAGAUAGAUUUUGACCGGAUGAACAAUUUUUAUUCCAUGUCAGAUUUGCUCUAAAUGCUUUGGUUUUUGAGUUAUAAGCGAAAAACUGCAUUUUACCCCCAUGUUCUAUUUUUAGCCAUGGCGGCCAUUUUGGUUGGUUGACCGGGUCACCAGACACAUUUUUAAAACUAGAUACCCCAAUGAUGAUUGUGGCCAUGUUUGGUUUAAUUUGGCCCAGUAGUUUCAGAGGAGAAGAUUUUUCUAAAAGAUGACUAAGAUUUACGAAAAAUGGUUAAAAAUUGACUAUAAAGGGCAAUAACUCCUAAAGUGGUCAACUGACCAUUUUGAUCAUGUUGACUUAUUUGUAGAUCUUACUUUGCUGAACAUUAUUGCUGUUUACAGUUUAUCUCUAUCUAUAAUAAUAUUAAAGACUAGAGGCUCUAAAGAGC